CGUUUUUAUCGUCUUUCUGAGUGAGGCGGCUGACUGACUGUGUGUGUAUGUGAGCUGCAGCUCGUUGAGAUUGCUCGGUCGGUCCCGAAUUAUUUUAUAUUUGCCUGUUAAAUUUUUAUUUUGAGCGAAUUUGAGUCGUGACAUGUCAACGGAGGACAAAAACUAGAGUGUGAACACAGGAAGGGUCAGGUGUGAUCUGCGAGGUCCAGCAAACACACGGACAAAAUCAGAGUCAUCAAGGAUCCAGCUGUUUAUUGGCAAUUUGGACAGUACAGAAAGUGCACAAGUGUGAGAGAGAGGAGGGGACGGCAUUAGAAAGGACCUAGAGCUGGGACUCUUUCAAGGAUCACCCAAAGCACAACCACGCUAUAUGUACAAGGCAGCUGGUUCUAACAUUUUAUCAGAAUUUGAAGAAACAUUUCUACUUAAAAUAUUAAAUGCAUUUCAUUCAAGGCAGCGUUUUUCCUGCAUAAAGAAUUUCCUCUGGCUGUCGACAAAACUCCUUAUCCUUUACCACCGACAUGGUUUCUGUUGCAGGUUCCAUUCUUGAACUGUUCAACACAUUCUCACUGCACAAAUGUACAAAUCUCUUGUAAUGAGACACAUUAGUAAAACAUGUUUUCACAGAAACUAUAGAUUUCCACCAAAAUAAAAGAUCAACUGGUUUCAGUCAAAAGAAGUACAAGGGUUUCUCUUGCAAGUGCAGCGCAAAAUAUGCAUGUUAUGGUACAAACACUGAGUCUUUAAAUGUUGUAUUUGGAUUUUACAGGUUUUUAACAAUACAUCCAAACACAAACACUGCAAGCUAAAGUUUGGGAUUAUUUUCAUCAGUUUUAUAAAGUAUGUUUCCAAAAUAAAACUGCUGUUUUACCAUUUUCAGCGUGUGGUAGUUUAUUGAAGUUGAUUGUAAAGCUGCUAGUUCUACUGGUUUUUAGCAAUACAUCCAAGCACAAACACCGCAAACUAAAGUUUAAGAUUAUUUUCAUGUG
Long non-coding RNA from Onychostoma macrolepis, 989 nucleotides. RefSeq lists it as uncharacterized. The record is from RefSeq and is a predicted model, not a curated record. The transcript has 3 exons. NCBI's taxonomy places the organism in Eukaryota, Metazoa, Chordata, Actinopteri, Cypriniformes, Cyprinidae.